This 85-nucleotide transfer RNA is filed under the name Felis catus (domestic cat). It matches the Rfam family "tRNA". From Rfam's summary of the family: Transfer RNA (tRNA) molecules are approximately 80 nucleotides in length. Their secondary structure includes four short double-helical elements and three loops (D, anti-codon, and T loops). Lineage: Eukaryota; Metazoa; Chordata; Mammalia; Carnivora; Felidae. The record is from Rfam by way of RNAcentral.
GCCUGGGUGGCUCAGUCGGUUGGGCGUCUGACUUCGGCUCAGGUCAUGAUCUCACGGUCCGUGAGUUCGAGCCCCGCAUCGGGCU